GUGGAUUAGAUACCCUGGUAGUCCACGCCGUAAACGUUGGGCACUAGGUGUGGGGUCUAUUCAACGGACUCCGUGCCGUCGCUAACGCAUUAAGUGCCCCGCCUGGGGAGUACGGCCGCAAGGCUAAAACUCAAAGGAAUUGACGGGGGCCCGCACAAGCAGCGGAGCAUGUUGCUUAAUUCGAGGCAACGCGAAGAACCUUACCUGGGUUUGACAUGUAGAGAAAAGCCGUAGAGAUACGGUGUCCUUCGGGGUUCUACACAGGUGGUGCACGGCCGUCGCCAACU
Molecule: ribosomal RNA, 287 nt
Filed under: uncultured bacterium
Lineage: Bacteria
Description: partial 16S ribosomal RNA
Rfam family: Bacterial small subunit ribosomal RNA
Source: RNAcentral